Molecule: ribosomal RNA, 468 nt
Filed under: uncultured bacterium
Lineage: Bacteria
Description: partial 16S ribosomal RNA
Rfam family: Bacterial small subunit ribosomal RNA
Source: RNAcentral
GACGAACGCUGGCGGCGUGCUUAACACAUGCAAGUCGAACGGAAAGGCCCUGCUUUUGUGGGGUGCUCGAGUGGCGAACGGGUGAGUAACACGUGAGUAACCUGCCCUUGACUUUGGGAUAACUUCAGGGAACUGGGGCUAAUACCGGAUAGGAGCUCCUGCUGCAUGGUGGGGGUUGGAAAGUUUCGGCGGUUGGGGAUGGACUCGCGGCUUAUCAGCUUGUUGGUGGGGUAGUGGCUUACCAAGGCUUUGACGGGUAGCCGGCCUGAGAGGGUGACCGGCAACAUUGGGACUGAGAUACGGCCCAGACUCCUACGGGAGGCAGCAGUGGGGAAUAUUGCACAAUGGGAGGAAGCCUGAUGCAGCAACGCCGCGUGCGGGAUGACGGCCUUCGGGUUGUAAACCGCUUUCGCCUGUGACGAAGCGUGAGUGACGGUAAUGGGUAAAGAAGCACCGGCUAACUACGUG